UUUCCGUAGGCGAACCUGCGGAAGGAUCAUUAUUGUAUAACCGAGGUGCGAGGGCUGUCGCUGACCCGAAAGGUCGUGCACGCCCGAGUGCCCUCACACACAUCCAUCUCACCCCUAUUUGCACCACCGCGUGGGUCCCCCUUUGGCUUGUUCGGAGGGGGGCUUACGUUUUCACACAAACUUUGUAUGCAGUGUAGAAUGUAUUUUUUGUUUUUGCGAUCACGCAAUCAAUACAACUUUCAACAACGGAUCUCUUGGCUCUC
Molecule: unclassified non-coding RNA, 263 nt
Filed under: plant metagenome
Description: partial contains small subunit ribosomal RNA, internal transcribed spacer 1, and 5.8S ribosomal RNA
Source: RNAcentral